GCCGACCGGGCCCGCCGCCGGGUGGCUUGCGAGGCUUUAAAUACCAAGGUUCAAACGCCUCUAGGUCCUGGGCUCUGCUACUAGGAGGGGGUGUCGCGGAGGCCGUUGCUGGUUGUACUCUGCAGGUAUGCAGCGCGUUUGGUGGUUCAGCGGUGGGCUCAGAGCAAGCAUUGCCAUGAUGCAUGUGCGCUGGGACGCGACGAUUGCUUUCAGUCUUGGGCAUCUCUUGGUGUUUAAGGCGUUGUGGAUUCACUGUGGUGGGAUGAUAAGAGGGUGCUUUGUUCUUCACUAAUUUACUGUCUGUGGUUCCCUGUGUCAUAGUUUUCGUUUGUGCUUAGCAACACAGUCGAUGCAGGCAUCAGCUGGAUACAUGCUGUGUGAAGUACUUCAAUGUGGGAAGGGGAUCACAGCUUGGGUCUUGAGCAUUGGUUGUGCAGAUAGUAAAGAAGCUGAAACAUGUGAGGAUCUUCAGAAUAUUCAUGGAUGAAACCAGUUUAUAUUCACUAUGAGAGUUGGAGAAUAUACUGUUGGCAACUGAGGAACAAAGUGAUUCAGUGAUUUGCCUCAAAUCACAUAGGAAGUACAUGAUACCACUAAAAAAUGAAUGAUAGUUCAGAGUAUUUGUGACUACUGGUCUGGGCUGCUGUUAGCUAUAGAGGAGAGGAUACUAAGGGAUAAUAAGGUUUGGAUCCUGCUUAUACUGAUGUUGGUAUCUCUGGAAAGGAAAUAAUGGUAGCCAAUGUCUUGGGGAUAUGCAGGCCUUUGAGAAACAAGUUAAUUACUUCCUAAAGUCACCUGGAGUCCUGCUUGUCUACUCUGAGCUUUAUUUUUCUAUACAUCAAAACAGGAGGAAAACAUUUUGAAUUAACAAUUUGUGGCAUAGAUGAAAGAGAGUAGCUCUUUCAUCUGCUCUUUCUGUUGCUUGAUACUUUAACAAAUGAAUGUGGUGUAACUUAGAACUUGGGAAGACUUGCAUGUUAAAGGUGUUUUGGUUAGGCCUUUAAUGGGCUAACCAUAUACUUGUAAUAAUUUAGCAUUUAAUAAUUAUUAGCAAAAGGCAGAUUAACUAAACUAACUUUUAGUUAGAAGGGAUCUAAAAGCAUGAGUCAAGAUGGGACAGAUCUGAAGGCACAGUCAGUCAGAGGGAGUAAAGCCAGUUCAGCAGCAUAACUGAGCUUGCUGCUCUGCAGCACAGUAGCUGUCAGGGCUGUCCCAGUCCCACACUUUCUACUCCCCUGGCUUCAGUUGGAGUGUCUCUUGUCCCUUUGUGCAGGUACUGGCGCCUGUGUGUAGAUGCAGUGAGCUAGUUCAGGAAGGUGAUCCAGCUGCGAACUAAUUUGCUGUGGGACAAAGUGACAAGAUAGCUCCCAGGACUGGGUUCAUUGUGCACAUGCCUGGGCAGCAGGGUGGAUGCAAGAAAACAGGGUAGCUCCUGUGACUGUAACAAUUCCUGUUUAGAUCCAGACACACUGCUGUGGAAUGUUAUUCCAAGCCUGGACUUUAAGCUGUCAUAGUUGUAGGAAGAAGAAAUGCUCCCUGCCUCUCCUUGGCAGAGCUCCCUGAAGGGUGUGUUUCAGAAAGCUGGAUGCAGCUGUAUAGUGUUGUGGGGUUUUGUGGCUGGGUUAUUGUUGUACCCAGGGUAGGUUGGGUUCCAUUUACCUGUUUGAUUUGGCAGCUGCACAAGUGCUCGGCUACCUGUGAAGGAAAGGGUGGUGCACAGGCAGGAAUGAGUACUUGUUGAGAGAAGGUGGAUCUGUUUCUCCUUUAACUUGGCUGGUUGAUGCUGGUUUCAGGUGUUUAUUGGCCUUGUGCUUCAGGUGUGCACUGUUUGACAUAUGAAGCUUUUCUCCCAGAUCUUUGUGUCUGCUGCUGUGCUCAGUAUGGAAUUCCCCUAGUUCUUUACCUAUGCGAUUGUUUGUGGAGUCAUGCUGCAAACUGGAUUGUUGAGCUGAUCAUGGUUAAAAAUAACUCCCUUUUAUCUCGUCGUUUGCUCAGGACUGGACAACUAAGGACAGUAAAGAGACAGGAGCAGGGCAAGAAGUGCAGAGUGGGAUUUUUUUCAUGCCAAAAAUGGUUCAAAAGACAAAAUGGGAUAGUGUAAAUACAGUCAGAGGAGAAACAAGAGAAAUUAACCUUGAUGUGCUGAAGUGCUUGAAUUUAGUAGGCUAGUGAAUGAACUUAAAUCCCUAAUAAUACCUCUUCAUUUGAUAUGUCAGUUGCUUUACAGUUAAUUGCUGUUGAUUUACACGUGACAGUGUGUUAGCUGGUAUACUGUACUAUGUAGUUCAAAGGAAAUCUGUGCUAACCAGCAUCUAUUGUAGCAUUAUGUAAACAUACACACAAAUGAGAGAAUAAAAGUUUGAAUCUAUGUUGCUGUGUUAAAAUGAAUCUUUCAAAGGGACCUUGCAAGUAAUUUUGAAUGUUGAUUUUUGUUAAUUGCAUCUGUGGAGAAGCUUAUGGAAACCAAAAUGGAACUGUCCAAGACUGGAGCCAGAUGCACCUAGGUAUAGAAAAUGCACCAAAUUAGCAUGAUCUCAUUUGAUUUUUAAGCAUGUGAGUCUGAGUCAGUUGUACUGUCACAGGAGAGAGCAGAUUCAAGCACCAGCAAUUUUUCAUGAGUUCAUAUGAUUCUUGAAUGGGUUCACGUGACAUCAGUAGGCUUAACUUGAUUUAAAAGCUGUAACAUGUUAGCUAUGCAAAUAGAUGUGAAACAUCAUUUAAAUAUUUUUGGCUUCUCUUUUAUGAAGUGAGUAGCUCUGCAGUUCCUGUUGUGAUACAUCUCCAGCAUUCCCCAUUAAUAUCUUAUUGUAGCCAGGCCACUUAAGGGUUUUCAAAACAUGUAUGUGUGUUGGAAUUCCCUCUGCAGAGGUUAUGUCAUGAUAAGCAAUGUUUCUUUUCACAGUUACCACUGCCUUUUAAUCUCUUCUCUAUUCCAGAUCCAAAGUCAUGAGUUUUUUUGAUAUCUCUUGCUGUACUUUUUUGAGUAUCUCAGUUUCAGCCAGUGCACAGCUGCCAACUCCACCUACAAAUUGGUUUUUCAUCUUCAUAGUUUUGAAGAUCAUACAGGAAAAUUUAAAGGACAGAAAGUGAUGCUGAGUAUUUGAGAACUCUGUUUAAAAGGAAAUACAUUUCCUGAAGUGCGCCUGUGCCCAAGAAAAUAACAUACACGUCACUGGGUGGUGCUUCAGCCUGGAAUCUUUCACAGAACCUAAAAAAAAAAUGGCUAAAUGAGAAGAAUAAAGUUAAAAGCAGCCAUCCAGAGUAGGAUUAAAUCUGUAACCAUGAAGAGCCACAUAGUGCCACUGGCGACAAAAACAAUAUAGAAAGUUGGAGUAACAGGUAGGCUUUUACAAGUAGAUGUAGCUAAAUAUGUUGUGUGGUACAUUUGGACAGGGCUUAUGUAGCCAUGUAACAUUCCUUUUCAGUGAGGUAGCUAUAACCAGAAGGCUGUUGAAAGCAGACAACAGUAUAGUAGUUGCAUAUUAACACAGACAGGGCCAUUAUGCCUAUGGCAGGGUGCAUGACUGGCUGGGGCUGAGGGUGUCUGGCAGAGAGAUAGGAGGAAGCCCUUAGUGUGUCUUUGUUCUGUGAAUUACAGCUAUUGUUCUCUGAUCUUCAUGAUCACAUUUCAAGUGUCUUGCCGUGAACUGGAGUGGUUAUAACAAGUCAAAUGCAUUAUUGUUCUUGAAUUAGCCCCCCAGUUGUAACUGUAUGUGGCUCAAGGUUUUAGGGGUUAUGAAUGCUGAUAAUGAGCUUACUUAGGGUGGUAUGAUUUUUUUUUUAUGGCCUCAUCAGCACUUCUUUUGGUUGUCUGUGGUGUAAGGGAGCUCAGACGUUGUAAUCCUUGUAGGAAUGAAGUUGAGGUCUGUGAACUGUAUCUGAGAAUGAGAUCCAGUAUUUUCACAGUGGUGUUGUAUUUCCUGAAGAAACACUCUUCUCCUUCUUCACCAGUUCCUCCCUGGGAAUUUUAAUGGUUAAAAGACAAUGCUUUUAUUUGUACUUCAAAAGAUGAAAUCAUCUGUAGUUCCUACACUGAUGAGUGUUGGUGGUGGGCUUGACAGGUAAAGGUGUUGAUAUCACUGUACUGUCUCUUUUCAUUCUGAUCUGUCAUGAAACCAUGAGGAGAGUGCCACAAAUCUUUCUCUGUCACUAAUUUUGUUCUUUCCUUUAGAAAUCUGGAUAUUAAAUGUGUUCAGGAUUACUGUUGCCCAGCUGGCCAUUUCUGCAUCCUUAAUGAAGCACAGUAGUGAUAUUGGAAAAGAGUCCUUCUGUAUGUUAAUAACAGUAGUUCUUUAAUAUGCAUACUUAAACUGACAUAUUAGUCUACUGGUGUUCCACCCCUUAUGUUGGAAAUAAAACCUCAGAUUAAAAGCAGUGUUUCCUAGUCUAUGAGCUGUAUCCUGCUUGCUGGAAAUAUGCUAAAGCCUAGCUAAGUGCCUAUUUAAUUUUGAAAUGCAGGAGUUGAAUUGGCUUCUUUGGAGCACAACAGAGACAGCUGUGCUCCAAAAAAGUAUGAGAUGUUUUUUUUUCCCUACAGGAGAAGACCUCCACCUCUUUCUGGUAUUAGAUAGACUUGCUUCCUCAGACUCUACCCCUAUUUAGACUCUUCCUCCCUGGGCUGUCUCCCUUUGAAAUCUUUGGAAUGGGCUACGCUCUUUUUCAGUGCCAUUCUUAGACCUUCAUUGAAUGUAUCGUUGCACGCCAUAAAUCUAUGCCUGCUCUUGGAGGGAUCCUGACUUCAUUUGAAAAGUUGUGUACCCCAAUGUCAAGGAUGGAGUUCACAAUCUCCCGCAGUGGAGGAAGAAGAUGCUCUUCCCUGUGGUGUUCAAAGGAGUUAAUCUAAAAGAGGCUUCCCAGCAUGUUCAUGCAACAGCAUGUUGGUGAUAAACAGGCUGCUGAUCUGGUGUGGUCAAAGUUUGUCUCCCUACUAGUAAGCUGCCUUACAAGCACUGAAGAGAAAAAAGAGAUAUGAGAAACAGUUGAGUCAAAUUGAUGGGACACUUUCAACCAUUGAGUUCCAGAGAGAGGCACUGGAGAAUUCCCACACCAACACAGAAGUGCUCAAGAAUAUGGGCUAUGCUGCACAAGCUAUGAAAAAAGUACAUGAAAAUAUGGACUUGAACAAAAUUGAUGAUUUGAUGCAAGAUAUCACUGAACAGCAAGAUGUUGCGCAGGAAAUUUCAGAUGCAAUCUCAAACCGAGCUGGCUUCCGUGAUGAGUUUGAUGAGGAUGAGUUGAUGGCAGAAUUAGAAGAACUGGAGCAAGAAGAAUUGAACAAGAGAAUGAGAGAUGUCAGGUUGCCAAGUGUUCCAUCCACAUCGCUGCCUUCUCGCCCUGCAUCAACCAGGAAGAGAGCAGAGGAUGAAGAUGAAAUGAAGAAGCUUGCUGCCUGGGCUUCAUAAGACCAUGGUCUUUUUAUAACACUGAACAUUAUACUGCAGAUGUACAGAGCUGUAAAGCUGUUUUAUAACUACUGAUUUAGUGUGGUUUCAUUUCAUGCAGGCUAUAUUUUAUGGCCAGUCUUGCUAAGAAUAGUGUAACUGCCAUAUUACAAAACUAGUUUAAAAAUAAACAAAUUAAAAAAAUGCAAUAGUUGCCAAAACCUCCAAGCAUCAAACUUUUUUUCAGCCUUGGCCAGAGAUUUGUUUUUAAUAUCAUUUUUUAUUGGGUGAUGUUGUACUAUAUCUGGCUGGUUUGUAAAACCUGUGUACCUCACACACACAGCUGGAUUCGUUGCUGAAAUGCAAAAGUUAAAGUCAUUAAGGCCUUAUCCUAGAGGGUUAUUUGUUUCAGACUAUUUGAAUAUUAGCAAAACAGCUUUAUACAUGUCCUGACUUGCAAGUUCCUUGGAGCCCAAGAGCUAAUAGCCAUUCAUUUGGACAUUGAAUUUUAAACAGACUGCCUGGAGCAAUUUAUGGUGACCUAGAUAUUAAGAGAAAACUCUUCUGUAGGUUUUUGAAGUGGGAUAGGUAUUCUUGGUUUAACUUUAGCCACAACAUCCCAUGUACUUCUAUAGGUCAGGUUAAAUUGUAUUUUGAACUAUUUCAUACUCAGUUAAAGAACAGUUUUACAGUGAUUGGGGAAAAUGAAAUGUCCAAGUUCUUACAGAUCGCUGCUAAACAAAACUGAUUUCUGAUAACCCCAUCAAAAAUCCGGAAGAGAUUUGACCUUCCUUUGUUCUCCUCUACUGUGUCUUUCUAGGCUGAGUCUUUACUUUGUAUGAUAAUACCCAUCUUUAAGGCAAUUAGUAACACAUUUUUAAUUAUACAAUUUCAAGUAAUCUUAAUUUCUGAGCAUUUAGUUCUUUCCUCUUACUCAAUUUCUGAACGGAAAUAAUACCAGCAUGUUGCAUUCAAAAUGCCUUUUUAACCCUGGUUAAAAGCUGAUUCUGGAUUAGUUAUAAAUGACAUGUUACUGUCCAACUGACAGCUUUAUAGCUUGCGGAACAAAUGCCACUCUGAGUGCUAAACUACUACAUAGAGAAAAUAGAGAAAUCACUGUUCUACUACAAAACAAGAAUUAAAUAGGCUGCUUUAUACUAGCGAAUUCUAUUAAAUGAAACUUAAGCUCUAUGCUAGUAGUCUGCUGUCAAUCACGUGGAAAUACUAAAACACUGUGGAGUUCCAAGGGAUGUGGGAAGCAGAGUGACAUCAGUCUAGGUUUCUUGUUUUCAUAUUAAUUUAAAUUUACUGAUGACUGAACCACUUCGGGUAUAGUGAGAGACUUGGUUUCUGUAGAUCCGUUGCGGUGGAAGACUGACCCCUUCUCCUGUGGGCUUUAGGCUAUGAUGUGCUGGGUGUUCAGCUUCAAUAGGCUGCAGUAGGCUUCAGCUUCUUAGAUUUUAGGUUAAGCAUAAGCUAAUGUGUGUUUCUGGACAUGGCAUGCUGGUGUGCUCAGAACCUUUCAACUUGAGUUCAUGGAUGAAACCCCACAUUUACAAACCCUGUGGAGAGAUUCAGUUUUUCAGGACUUUUUUAUUCUCUGUACUGGAAUUGCUUUUGGUUUGCGUCCAUAUGAAAGGACACUCAAGCUUUGCCACUUUACUUUGGAUGCAUUUCCUACUCAGAAAAAAAACAAGUAUGAUAAUUCUGUCCCAAGGUUUGGAGGUACCAGAAAAAUUGUUCCUUUCAGCUGAGAGUGGAGAAAACCUGGAACUAUGCAGUUUUUAAUUUUUCUUUUUUUUCUUUUUUUUUUUUUUUUACAAAUAAAGCCACAAAAACCCCAACCUGCCUUAAAUUUAAAAAUACAUUUUGAACUCUCAGUAGGAAAUUGAACACUAACAAAAUGUUUCUCAGUUUUAAUGCUUGCUGAUAUUCAGAAUGAGAUGCCAGCUGAGAGCAGGCAUAUUUAAUAAAAUAACAAAUAUUUGGAGUUACUUAUAAUCCAUUUGCUAAUCCUUUUGGCUGGAAUUCCAUCUUCAAGGUAUGCAAUCUAUGCAAGUCUCUGAACUGGGUACAGAAAGUAUUAAUAUACACUGAUUGCACCACUGUGUGGGGCUGGCCUUGUGCCUGUGGACACAUCUGAUAUUUCUAAAUGUGAGGCCAUACCAACAUAGUCCUGUGCUUAGCUUGGAAAAGCUGGCGUCUAGCAUCUGUUCUUGGCUGCAUUAGUAGUUUUCCAAUACUUGGCACUUCAUGUAGCACUUGGUAUAUUUAAAGUGCUCUACAACCUAGCCAAAAUAGGUUUCUAAGCUUCAGUUUGAAACUAAAGUGAUUUUCAGUCUGGCAAAUGUGGACCUGCUGUUUUAUGUAAGAACUUUCCAUGUGAACACCCUGCAAGGGUGAAGAAAUCUAGGGAAGGUCUCCUCUUUUGCAGGCUAGCAUCUGGCUGCCGACUUCCAGCGAUAUUUUGGCCAAUUGUUGAUCCUGAGAAGCUUCAAGUGUCUUCAGCUUAUUGAUUUCAGACCAGACACUUUAGGAACAAGAUUUGUGAAGGGUGAAGAAAACAAACUGGUCAUUCAGAUGAGCUCCCAUAAAAGCUUGUGUGUGGUGGCUGGUGGUUCUGGAGGAGAGAGUCACGUACCAGUUCAUAGGCUAGGAUAUGAGUGGUUGGUGAAGCUAUCCUCAGAGAUACUGUAGUCAGGUGCACAGACCAAAAUACAGUAUGGACCUCCAGAACCAGAGUGCUUGUUGACAGGAUUGUCUGGGAGGCAGUAAGUGAUGGGUUUUCUUCAAAAGCAGAGGGGUUCUAGGGGUUUAAUUCAGCUGAGGUGGCGGCUCUCUCCUUCAUAAACUCAGAUGACGCUAUGACAAAUGGCUCUUCCUUCUUUGAACAUAUGUCUGUCUUUGUGCCAAGAUGGUAUUUGUUUAGUAUGUAAGCAGAUGAGAGUGAACAGUGACAAAGUGUUGCUGUAAAUGUACUCUCUGUUAACUGGAACAUAUUUUACAAGAGGACUGGCAGCAGAUGGUGCACUAUAGCUGACUUCCUUUCUUGUUUCUUAUUUAUUUUGAGAAGGUUUUCUUCUCUGAACAGGCUUGGACAUUUUUAAUCUCAAUAUCUUUAAAAGGGGGGAAAAUGUACCAAUAAAAAGUAAAAAGAAAAUAUAGAUAUGCUGUAAAUAAGUAUUUUGGUGUCAUAUUUGUGUUAUAUGAUUGUAUUAAAUUUAUUUUCCUAUCAGGCAAGACUGUAAGUACUCUCCUUACACUGUCAUUAGGAUACAGUGCUCUUUAGAGGAGAUUAGGAUAUUAUGAAAUACUGUUUUAAUGUAUUAAUCUUUCAGCAUCAGGUUGGAAUUUAGGAAUUCUUCAAAGCUGAUUUGGUUUAAAAAACCAGCCAAACAAUAAAAAAACCCAAACCAGCAUAUCCUGUGGUGUUUGAGCUACGUUCCUUGACACCGAACAGUUGUUUAGCAAGCAGUUCUUUUAUUUUAACAUGUCCAAAAUACCUACUUCACUUCGCCACCCCCCAAUCCACGAUCUCUUCAUUGCUUCUUAAAUGUAUGUAUUUCACUUUCCAGGCCCUAGUGGAAAGGAAGAAUGGACAGGUCUUUUAAA
Molecule: RNA transcript, 8993 nt
Organism: Strigops habroptila (Kakapo)
Lineage: Eukaryota; Metazoa; Chordata; Aves; Psittaciformes; Psittacidae
Gene: CHMP4C
Gene name: charged multivesicular body protein 4C
Exons: 7
Source: RefSeq, a predicted model, not a curated record